Molecule: long non-coding RNA, 854 nt
Organism: Cercocebus atys (sooty mangabey)
Lineage: Eukaryota; Metazoa; Chordata; Mammalia; Primates; Cercopithecidae
Exons: 2
Source: RefSeq, a predicted model, not a curated record
CCCCUGCCAGCCGCGAGCCCUGCGUGGUCCUCCGUGCCGCGCCCCGCAACCCGACCCUGCUGCGGACGCUCGGCGCCAUGAGCGCCCUGGUCGCCGCCUCCAGGACCGCAGACGACGCCCCGGACGGCCCAGCAGACGGCGGAGCGCACCGAACCCCGGCCGGGAAGAACCACAAGAAGAUGACGGUGCCUCCUGGGGUCCCGCAAGGCGGCAGGGACUGAGGAAGGCCGCACAAGGGCGGCCUAGGCGAGGUCUCAUGAGGAGGCAGGGUCUCCACGCACUGGAAUAGUGUCACCCACACACAAGGGCACAGAACCCAGGGACACAGGAUGGCUGAGACACGCAGCUGGUGAUGUCCCUCAGGACGGUGUCAACCAGUAUGUAAUCACAUUCCACACGGCACCAACUGGACAGCGGCCUCCGAUCACCCUCACUCUGACUGCGACCCCUCUCACUGGACAGCAUCACCUGGACACAGAGCCUCACCCAAUCCGUGUCCCGUGGACCCAGCUUUACUUUGGGUGGUGACACCAAGAAUACUCACCCCUUAGCCAGACCACAGGCAGCCACCCGGGCACGAACAUCUCUCCAGACUCACCCUCCAUGCAGACUCCACAGCAGAACUCCCAGGGAGGCACCGGGACCAUGGCUUCGGAACACCAGGCAGCCCUCUGUGGUGCCCAGCACCCACUCAGCCAGGACAGCCUGCAGCGGAGCCUGGAGCCAGCAGCUUCUCAUCUCUUGGCCUCGGGAAAUGUAGCUGGAGUCAUCAUUUAGCAGAGCACAGUGUCCCUGGGUUGGUCACCCAGCUUAUUUUUUAAAUAAAAUAAUGUAAUCUUGGCCUAACCGUGGAA